ACUGAUCAUGAUAUAGGAAGCG
RNAcentral lists this small RNA (22 nucleotides) under Aspergillus fumigatus Af293. RNAcentral's name for it is "Aspergillus fumigatus sRNA Afu4g12405". The record is from RNAcentral. Lineage: Eukaryota; Fungi; Ascomycota; Eurotiomycetes; Eurotiales; Aspergillaceae.